RNAcentral lists this long non-coding RNA (214 nucleotides) under Anser brachyrhynchus (Pink-footed goose). RNAcentral describes it as "lncRNA (ENSABRG00000001071.1)". Lineage: Eukaryota; Metazoa; Chordata; Aves; Anseriformes; Anatidae. The record is from RNAcentral.
UUUAUGAAUGGAUGUUGAGUUUAAUUUUUUUUUUUUCCUGUUUCCUUUAAAACCUCACAGGUCAGUGCCCUUGGGAUUUUGUCUAAAUGUCUUAUUUCUACAGGAGGCAGAAGCGAAGCAAGGAACUAUACCUCUGUCUUCAAGCGUUGUCAUGAAUUUUGGAUUGUCAGCUGAAAACACAAACAGAAAAACAGCAGCUGCAGGCAAGAGGUAA